GCCCAGGUGGCGGAGUGGUAUACGCGGCAGCCUGAGAUGCUGUUGGUCCGAGCGGGCCAUGGGGGUUCGAUUCCCCCUCUGGGCA
Molecule: transfer RNA, 85 nt
Filed under: Alphaproteobacteria bacterium
Lineage: Bacteria; Pseudomonadati; Pseudomonadota; Alphaproteobacteria
Description: tRNA-Leu
Rfam family: tRNA
About the family: Transfer RNA (tRNA) molecules are approximately 80 nucleotides in length.
Source: RNAcentral